This 459-nucleotide ribosomal RNA is filed under the name uncultured bacterium. RNAcentral describes it as "partial 16S ribosomal RNA". It matches the Rfam family "Bacterial small subunit ribosomal RNA", at positions 338 to 795 of the family's 1533-position model. The record is from RNAcentral.
CCUACGGGAGGCAGCAGUGAGGAAUAUUGGUCAAUGGGCGGGAGCCUGAACCAGCCAAGUCGCGUGAGGGACGACGGUCCUAUGGAUUGUAAACCUCUUUUGUCGGGGAACAAAGGCGCCCACGGGUGGGCGGAUGAGUGUACCCGAAGAAAAAGCAUCGGCUAACUCCGUGCCAGCCGCCGCGGUAAUACGGAGGAUGCGAGCGUUAUCCGGAUUUAUGGGGUUUAAAGGGUGCGUAGGGGGGUAGUCAAGUUAGCGGUAAAAAUGCGGUGCUCAACGCCGUACAGCCGUUGAAACUGGCAGUCUUGAGUGGGCGAGAGGUAUGCGGAAUGCGUGGUGUAGCGGUGAAAUGCAUAGAUAUCACGCAGAACUCCGAUUGCGAAGGCAGCAUACCGGCGCCCGACUGACGCUGAGGCACGAAAGCGUGGGUAUCGAACAGGAUUAGAUACCCGGGUAGUC